GACGAACGCUGGCGGCGUGCCUAAUACAUGCAAGUAGAGCGCUGAAGGAGGAGCUUGCUCUUCUGGAUGAGUUGCGAACGGGUGAGUAACGCGUAGGUAACCUGCCUGGUAGCGGGGGAUAACUAUUGGAAACGAUAGCUAAUACCGCAUAACAGUAGAUGUUGCAUGACAUUUACUUAAAAGGUGCAAUUGCAUCACUACCAGAUGGACCUGCGUUGUAUUAGCUAGUUGGUGGGGUAACGGCUCACCAAGGCGACGAUACAUAGCCGACCUGAGAGGGUGAUCGGCCACACUGGGACUGAGACACGGCCCAGACUCCUACGGGAGGCAGCAGUAGGGAAUCUUCGGCAAUGGACGGAAGUCUGACCGAGCAACGCCGCGUGAGUGAAGAAGGUUUUCGGAUCGUAAAGCUCUGUUGUAAGAGAAGAACGAGUGUGAGAGUGGAAAGUUCACACUGUGACGGUAUCUUACCAGAAAGGGACGGCUAACUACGUG
Molecule: ribosomal RNA, 495 nt
Filed under: uncultured bacterium
Lineage: Bacteria
Description: partial 16S ribosomal RNA
Rfam family: Bacterial small subunit ribosomal RNA
Source: RNAcentral